Molecule: transfer RNA, 97 nt
Filed under: Herpetosiphonaceae bacterium
Lineage: Bacteria; Bacillati; Chloroflexota; Chloroflexia; Herpetosiphonales; Herpetosiphonaceae
Description: tRNA-Sec
Rfam family: Selenocysteine transfer RNA
Source: RNAcentral
GGGAAUGGAUGGGGCCUGGUGGCCUCCGCAGUCUUCAAAAUUGUUGGGCGCGAUGACGAAUCGCGCUGGUGUGUUCGAUUCGCACCCACUCCCGCCA